CGCUAUCAUCAUUAUUUUCAUUAUUACCUUCAUUAUCUGUACGAUAAUUUCUGUACUUUACAGCCGGCCUACUGGGCCGGUUUUUUAU
This 88-nucleotide non-coding RNA is filed under the name Serratia odorifera DSM 4582. Lineage: Bacteria; Pseudomonadati; Pseudomonadota; Gammaproteobacteria; Enterobacterales; Yersiniaceae. The record is from RNAcentral.